This 637-nucleotide long non-coding RNA is filed under the name Chinchilla lanigera (long-tailed chinchilla). RNAcentral describes it as "lncRNA (ENSCLAG00000028733.1)". Lineage: Eukaryota; Metazoa; Chordata; Mammalia; Rodentia; Chinchillidae. The record is from RNAcentral.
GACUAGCUCCUUCGGUGGGGUGACAGCUAAUACAAUGGCCAGCAUCAGUCCCUAUGGGGUCACUUAAGCAAGCACACAGUGGCCUGCAGCUCUGACGAUAAUGGCUGAGAGGGCCACAGACUAACUCCUUCAGUGAUGGAGCUGGAAGCUCAAAAGAAACCUCAAAAGCAUAGAAAACAUAGCGUAAAGGCCCAGGAGAAAUUUGCCAAGAAUUUUCCAUACAGGCUUGGAGCUCCAGACUUUACAUCGCCAUCCUACUUCCACCCAUCAGCCUUGCGGCCCCCACCAUACUACCUUUGGGAACUCAAAUUACUAAGCCUCCGCUUCCCCAGACAAGUUGACUAAGAAGAACUCCCUCCCCACGUCGAUGCAGACCACUUCUAAACCAGACCAGUGAGGUGAGAGAGUCAUCCAGGGCCCUGUCCUGGAACCCUACUCUGUGUGGCCUCUGUCCAUUGUCUUCUCCUCAGCAUGCUCUUGGAGCACCCACCAAGACUUUAGUGAGGGGAACAGCCUCUGUAGCCACAGGAAACCAGGAGCUUUCCACCUCCCUAUAAAACCACAUCAUACUAAUAAACUGCAUUUUCAAAUCAUGUUUCCCUUUGCACUGGUCACUUUACCUCUGUGAGCCUCUACG